Molecule: long non-coding RNA, 558 nt
Organism: Solea senegalensis (Senegalese sole)
Lineage: Eukaryota; Metazoa; Chordata; Actinopteri; Pleuronectiformes; Soleidae
Exons: 2
Source: RefSeq, a predicted model, not a curated record
GAGAGAGAGAGUGUGUGUGUGUUGGGAUCAUGUCACUGGCUCUGAUCUCCACGCAGUCGUUUUUUUUUUUUUUUUUUCUGAAUGUAUUUAUUGAUUGAUUCUAAGAAAUGCACCCCGACAGUAGCGUGUGCGUGGAGCUGUCGGCCACAUGUGGAUUCCUGUCGUGCCGUGGAACAGAAGAGCAGGAGAUGACACUCGCCCCCGCACGGAUGCUGACAGUGGUCACGAGUGAGAUUUAGUUGUUGUUGUUUUUUUUUGGAUGCAUUGGAUUUGCCGUUGGAGUGAAAGAAGACGCGCAGUCACAGAGUGUUUGGGGGGGGGAGGAAUAUAAGAGUCCAAACAUGCAGACCAUGUUCCAGUGUUCCAGCUGUGACAAACCGAUCGUGGACAGGUUCCUGCUCAAAGUUCUGGACAGACCGUGGCACAUCAAGUGCGUCCAGUGCACCGACUGUAAGUGCACUUUGACGGAGAAGUGUUUCUCGCGAGAAGGCAGACUCUACUGUAAGAACGACUUCUUCAGCGAACAAUGAUUCCAUGAUCGUCAUAUGAUGGGAAGGG